Ficedula albicollis (Collared flycatcher) is the source of this 4118-nucleotide long non-coding RNA. The record is from Ensembl. Lineage: Eukaryota; Metazoa; Chordata; Aves; Passeriformes; Muscicapidae.
GCACGGAGAUGCUGCAGGGCUGGAGCCCCUCUGCUCUGGAGCCAGGCUGGCAGAGCUGGGGCUGCUCAGCUGCACCAGAGAAGGCUCCAGGGAGAGCUGAGAGCCCCUGGCAGGGCCUGCCCCCCCCCCCCCCAUGGAGGGACAGGACACAGGGAAUGGCUCCCACUGCCAGAGGGCAGGGAUGGAUGGGAUAUUGGGAAGGAAUUGUUCCCUGGGAGGGUGGGCAGGCCCUGGCACAGGGUGCCCAGAGCAGCUGUGGCUGCCCCUGGAUCCCUGGCAGUGUCCCAGGGCAGGCUGGACACUGGGGCUGGGAGCAGCCUGGGACAGUGGAAGGUGUCCCUGCCCAUGGCAGGGGUGGCACUGAAUGAGCUUUAGGCUUCUUUCCAAUGUCAUUCUAUGAAUUUAGGGGAUCAAAACUUUUGCUUGCAGGGCAAACUGGGGGGAUUUUGGAACAGGGAAGUUGCAACCGCUCUGCGUCACAACACAAAAGUUCUCUGCAGAAGAGGAAGCUGGUGGGAAGAGCCCUGCCUGGUGCUCUGCAGAGCAGCUGGCUGAGCUCUGGGUUUGGCUGGAGCAGCUGGCCACCCUUAGAGUCUCUCCUCACCCAGGAGUCCCUUGGGAUCCAGCAGUGGGAUCAAAACACACUCAGGUGGUUUCCUUCAGCUGCACUGGCCAGGCUUGCGUUGCUUCCCAGAUCAGGCCACUGAAUUCACCAAGGUUCAGAAAUUGCUCUGAACUCUAACUUCUGCCUGGGUUAGCAGCAAACCAUGAUUUACUCUUUGCCUCGAUAUUUUGAAAGGAAGGAAGGCAGUUCUUUGGGGAAGUGUGCUGUGAAUGAUAAUGGUCCUUCAGGAGGACCAGAAGUUCAGGGGGAUGGCAUGAGAGCAGAUCUUUUGCAGGCUUUGCCCUGGAGUAUCAAGGGCUGGCUGUGCCUGGUGCUGAUUUUCCAGGCUGGAAAUAGCAGGGCUGGGCUGUGGGAAACAGGGUGGUUCAUGUACAGCCCGAGAGCAUCACCACACCUGAGCCAAAGGAGCCAAAGGUGCUGGCUCUGGAUUCAUGAAACUCCAUUCCUUUUCUUGUCUGCAAACCAGGAGCUGUUCUUAGAGCCAAGUUUUCCCAACUCCCUUUGCCCUUCAGCAUCUUUUCCUGCCCGUUCUGUUACUCUGGUGAUCUCAAAGGCUGGAGAGGCUCCAAUCCCUCCUGCAGCUGCAGAUCUCCCCAAAUGAACUGCUGUGGCCACAGGCAGCCAUUGCUUUGGUAGCCCGAGCUGCUGUGGAUGAAAACACACUGGACCAUCAGUCAGGCUGCUCCUGGCUACCAAAAAAACCCCCUUGGGACUGGCAGCAUCCAAUAUUUAUGGUUUCUGUCCUGGCCUGCAGUGACAGGACGUGGNNNNNNNNNNNNNNNNNNNNNNNNNNNNNNNNNNNNNNNNNNNNNNNNNNNNNNNNNGAAAAAACCCCCCCCCCCCCCCCCUUGGGAAGGAAUUGUUCCCUGGGAGGGUGGGCAGGCCCUGGCACAGGGUGCCCAGAGCAGCUGUGGCUGCCCCUGGAUCCCUGGCAGUGUCCCAGGGCAGGCUGGACACUGGGGCUGGGAGCAGCCUGGGACAGUGGAAGGUGUCCCUGCCAUGGCAGGGGGUGGAAAAAGAUGGUUCUGAAGGUCCCUCCCAACCCAAAUCCUUUGAUGAUGAUGAUGGGUCUCUGAUUUUUUCCAGCCGUGAGGGCCUGGGAAAUUGACUGUGCUGAAAGCUCGAGUAAGAGCAAGCUCGGGAAAACAUCUUUAGAAAGCAUCUUUAAAGUGUUUUGUUGAUGCACUUCCCCUAUUUUUCGUCAAGCCUGAGGGGGCUGAUAUGCAGCUGGAAACAGUUCCCGUUGUUUUCCAGCUCCUCCAGGGCUGCUCCAGGCAGGCAUCUUCAGGAAAGCCGCUCUGAAUUGACUUCCAAAUGAGAGUAAUUAAAGCAAACGAGGCUUUUGCAGGGAGGGAAGAGCUCCCGGCUGGAUGAUGCACUCGGCUCAAGGUAAUUGUCCCAGAUCAGCUCUCUGUGCUGGGGAUGGGAUGGGAUGGGAUGGGAUGGUUUAACACUCCACAGACUUCUCCCUCCUUCCCAUUAUUUCCCCAUUUCCACGAGGCAGGUGCCUGGGAUGUCCCUGUCAUCCUGACCAGCUUUAAGUGCUGCCAGAGCCUGCCUGGUCUCACUCAGAUGCUGCCAAGGUUCUAAGGAGAUUUAGGGUCCCUCACACCCCUGGGGCAAAGGGAGGUUGGGAGCAAGGUGGGAUUUGGAGUCCUGGAAACUCCGGGAGUGUUGAUUUUUUUUUUUUCCCCCACCAAAAACCAGAGGCCAAUUUUGCAACCUUAGCGCAAAGCAAGGAGAAGAAAGCACUAAAUGUGGCAAGAACUGCCAAUUUCUCAACAAUUGUCAAGAAACAGUGAACUGAAAUAUCCCCUAAGGGUGGGGAAAAUGUCAAGCCCAGCAGUUGUCACUGGUUUGUUUUUUUUUACCUGCAAGUCACACGUUGCAUCCCUCCCUGGGGAUGUUUCUGCUCCUCCAACACUUCCUGACCUUUCCCAAAAUGCUGUGGUGUUGUACUUUCACUGCUGCUAUUUUUUUAUAUUGUUUUGGAGGGUGUGGGGAGGGAAAUGUGAUAGAAGGAAGUAGAAGGAAAGGUUUCUCUCUCUGUUCUUCUUUUUAAUUUUUUUUUUUUUCCUUAAAGCCAGAAAUGAGCAAAUGGAAAGUAUAAAACAACAUGAAAAUGCCCCAAUUCUUUCAAAAUAGCUCCUGGGUAAUUUCCACCCCCAAUCACAGAUUUUGUGUGCCAGUAAAAAAAAAAAGAAAAAAAAAAAUAUAUAUAUAAAUAUAUAAAACUCUGUAUCUCUAGUGAAACACAGAGGGAUUUUCCUUUGUCCACGUGCCUUGGGCACUGACCUGGGGAGGCUUUCCUUGGUCUUUGGUGGCUUUGAAAGCCCCGUUGUUCCUUCACAGGGACCCUUUAUGCUGAUCGUGCACAUUCUGUGGGCAUCUGUCAACAGGGGAGGGGGGAAACUGCUGAAAUGGGUAAUAAUGAGAUGAAAACAAUCCAUGCUGGCCUCUGGAUAAUAACCAGCUGAUAUUAAGCCUAAGCCCAGCUGAAAACAGUUAAUAAUAAAUGGGCAUUAAUUAAAGCUAAAUUACAGGGGAAGGUGCAGGCCUGGCUCUCAAUCCAAUUAGAGGGCUGUGGUUCGUAAUGGGCAGAAUCUGUCCAGCCUGUGAAUCAAUGAUCAAAGGCUGGGGAAGCAACAGCAGGGCUGUGUCAGGGUUGGGAUGAUGGCCUGGACAGGGAAGAGGCCAGAGGAGGAUUAAGAGAGAGCUCGUUUGGGUUUGCCACACACCCCAGAAGGUUUGGGAUGAGUCCUGGUGGGAGCAGGAUAUUCACUGCAGACCCCUCAUGGUGACAACAGGAGGGAAAGGGCAGAGCUGAGGCUGGUCCAAGGCUGGGUCUGACUGAUGUGUUCUGUGCAUCAGGAGGGAGAGGCAGAGCUGCCCUCACAGCUGAGGAGGGGCUUGGCCAGGGAGGAGCUGGGAAGUGAGGACGUGAUCCAAGAAGGAUCACCCUGGAACACAGCACUCCAGCUCUGGCAGCCUCAGCUCUGCCAAACUGAGGGGGACACGCCACCAAGGGUCACUGGGCAAGCUGCUGGAAGGGCUCCUCCCAGCCAGCAGCUCCAGGCUGCUCACACUCCCGAGAGCAGAAGCCUUGGUUUUAAACCUCACUGGUGCUGAGAGGAGCUUUGGAAUGUGCAUUCUUCCAAACAGCCCAAACACCUUUUCUUUCUAAAAAAAAAAAAAAAAAAAAAGUUUUUAAAGAAGCUUUGGAAUGUGCCAUCCUUCCAAACACCAGCUAAGAGGAAAAUCCCAGCGUUUUGGAAGCUGCUAUGAGGAAAAUCCCAGCGUUUUGGAAGCUCAGGGUGUUUCAGGCAGACCUUCAGGCGUGUCCCACGAAUGAGAGCAUCAGCAAUAGCUGGAAAAGGCUCUUCUGCUCCAGAAAAAGCCCACGUGUUUGCUGUUUCUCCUCCUGACCCAGAUGUGCAGCUCAGUGUCCUCCCUCGGGAGCAGCCACGGGAUAUUCCUGACACGAGGAGGCAGC